GUAGGUGAACCUGCGGAAGGAUCAUUAUUGAACUCAUCUACUGGGUUGCUGCUGGUUCCACUAUGGUUCAUGUGCACGCCUAGUUCUUGAUCUCUUUUCCACCUGUGCACUUUUGUAGGCCAUUCUGCGCCUUGGUUGAUUGUCUGUUGGGUCAAGGUCUUGCUUUUGUGAGGCUUUUGGAUUGGAGGACUGGGUUAUUGAGUUAGCUCUUCUUCUAGGACUUUCAGCUGAGCACGGAUUAGGUGUCUACGUUUUUUACACAAACCCCAUUUUGUAUGUCUAGAAAGUCCAUUACUGGUCGGAAGACCUUUAAUCUUUACACAACUAUUGACAACGGAUCUCUUGGCUCAC
This 351-nucleotide unclassified non-coding RNA is filed under the name rhizosphere metagenome. Its description in RNAcentral is "partial ribosomal RNA internal transcribed spacer region". The record is from RNAcentral.